This 450-nucleotide ribosomal RNA is filed under the name Triticum aestivum (bread wheat). RNAcentral's name for it is "partial small subunit ribosomal RNA". The record is from RNAcentral. Lineage: Eukaryota; Viridiplantae; Streptophyta; Magnoliopsida; Poales; Poaceae.
CUUGGAGGUUCAGUGUUGUGGUUCUCCGGUGCAUGGCGCUGGUCCGAGAGAGAGAGAGAGCAUCAUGACUGCCAUGGCUUGAACUAUUUUGCUGAGAUCCUGGAAAAAUUGAAUGGUAUAAUUCUGUUAAUUGGGAACCUUGGAAUUGAUUUUUCACCUGAAAAGGUUGAUCGAGGGUCGGAUAAUGGACGUAACACAGCUGCUAGAGAAGAGAUUAUAAUAUGGAAAAUAUUAGAUGAGGAGGAAGCUAAAGUUGGUAGAUCAAUUGAGCAAGAGUUCCAGACCCAGGUUACACCAAGAACAAGUGCCUCAGAUCAUUCAUUUUUCAGGCAGCGGAAGGAUCACUCCCCCUCCCCUCGCGUCGCCCACCUGAGGGCGACUCGAGGGUGCCCUCGCCCCGUCCGCCGUGACCACCCCUCUUCGGAUCUCACCGCCUCGACCAAAAUGUAA